GACGAACGCUGGCGGCGUGCUUAACACAUGCAAGUCGAACGGUAAGGCCCUUCGGGGUACACGAGUGGCAAACGGGUGAGUAACACGUGGGUGAUCUGCCCUGCACUUCGGGAUAAGCCUGGGAAACUGGGUCUAAUACCGGAUAGGACUCCUGGCUUCAUGGUUGGGGGUGGAAAGCUUUUGCGGUGUGGGAUGGGCCCGCGGCCUAUCAGCUUGUUGGUGGGGUAAUGGCCUACCAAGGCGACGACGGGUAGCCGGCCUGAGAGGGUGACCGGUCACACUGGGACUGGGAUACGGCCCAGACUCCUACGGGAGGCAGCAGUGGGGAAUAUUGCACAAUGGGCGCAAGCCUGAUGCAGCGACGCCGCGUGAGGGAUGACGGCCUUCGGGUUGUAAACCUCUUUCAGCACCGACGAAGCGCAAGUGACGGUAGGUGCAGAAGAAGGACCGGCCAACUACGUGCCAGCCGCCGCGGUAA
This 478-nucleotide ribosomal RNA is filed under the name uncultured bacterium. Its description in RNAcentral is "partial 16S ribosomal RNA". It matches the Rfam family "Bacterial small subunit ribosomal RNA", at positions 28 to 523 of the family's 1533-position model. The record is from RNAcentral.